This 73-nucleotide transfer RNA is filed under the name Toxarium undulatum. RNAcentral's name for it is "tRNA-Gly". It matches the Rfam family "tRNA". From Rfam's summary of the family: Transfer RNA (tRNA) molecules are approximately 80 nucleotides in length. Their secondary structure includes four short double-helical elements and three loops (D, anti-codon, and T loops). The record is from RNAcentral. Lineage: Eukaryota; Bacillariophyta; Thalassiosirophyceae; Ardissoneales; Ardissoneaceae.
GCAAAAAUAGUUCAACUGGUAGAAUGUAACCUUGCCAAGGUUAAAGUUAGGGGUUCGAGUCCCUUUUUUUGCA